CAGCCGCCGCGGGAAUACGUAGGGUGCAAGCGUUAAUCGGAAUUACUGGGCGUAAAGCGUGCGCAGGCGGUUAUAUAAGACAGAUGUGAAAUCCCCGGGCUCAACCUGGGAACUGCAUUUGUGACUGUAUAGCUAGAGUACGGCAGAAGGGGAUGGAAUUCCGCGUGUAGCAGUGAAAUGCGUAGAUAUGCGGAGGAAUACCGAUGGCGAAGGCAGCCCCCUGGGCCAAUACUGACGCUCAUGCACGAAAGCGUGGGGAGCAAACAGGAUUAGAUACCCCAGUAGUCCCUGUCUCUUAUCC
RNAcentral lists this ribosomal RNA (301 nucleotides) under uncultured bacterium. RNAcentral's name for it is "partial 16S ribosomal RNA". It matches the Rfam family "Bacterial small subunit ribosomal RNA", at positions 509 to 809 of the family's 1533-position model. The record is from RNAcentral.